This 203-nucleotide ribosomal RNA is filed under the name uncultured bacterium. RNAcentral's name for it is "partial 16S ribosomal RNA". It matches the Rfam family "Bacterial small subunit ribosomal RNA", at positions 1289 to 1500 of the family's 1533-position model. The record is from RNAcentral.
CAGUUCGGAUUGCAGGCUGCAACUCGCCUGUAUGAAGUCGGAAUUGCUAGUAAUCGCGGAUCAGCAUGCCGCGGUGAAUACGUUCCCGGGCCUUGUACACACCGCCCGUCAAGCCAUGGAAGCCGGGAGUGCCUGAAGUACGCGACCGCAAGGAGCGUCCUAAGGUAAAACCGGUGACUGGGGCUAAGUCGUAACAAGGUAUC